UGGGGAAUUUUCCGCAAUGGGCGAAAGCCUGACGGAGCAACGCCGCGUGAGGGAUGAAGGCCUCUGGGCUGUAAACCUCUUUUAUCAAGGAAGAAGAUCUGACGGUACUUGAUGAAUAAGCCACGGCUAAUUCCGUGCCAGCAGCCGCGGUAAUACGGGAGUGGCAAGCGUUAUCCGGAAUUAUUGGGCGUAAAGCGUCCGCAGGCGGCCUGAUAAGUCUGUUGUCAAAGCGUGGAGCUUAACUCCAUUUCGGCAAUGGAAACUGUGAGGCUUGAGUGUGGUAGGGGCAGAGGGAAUUCCCGGUGUAGCGGUGAAAUGCGUAGAUAUCGGGAAGAACACCAGUGGCGAAGGCGCUCUGCUGGGCCAUAACUGACGCUCAUGGACGAAAGCCAGGGGAGCGAAAGGGAUUAGAUACCCCUGUAGUC
RNAcentral lists this ribosomal RNA (425 nucleotides) under uncultured cyanobacterium. Its description in RNAcentral is "bacterial SSU rRNA". It matches the Rfam family "Bacterial small subunit ribosomal RNA", at positions 355 to 795 of the family's 1533-position model. Lineage: Bacteria; Bacillati; Cyanobacteriota. The record is from RNAcentral.